UUGGAGGGCAAGUCUGGUGCCAGCAGCCGCGGUAAUUCCAGCUCCAAUAGCGUAUAUUAAAGUUGUUGCAGUUAAAAAGCUCGUAGUUGAACCUCGGGAUCAAUGGAUCGGUCAUGCCAAUGGUAUGUACUGGUCAUAUUGGUUCUCACCUUCUAAGGAACCAUGAUGUCAUUCAUUUGAUGUUGCGGGGAAUUAGGACUGUUACCUUGAAAAAAUUAGAGUGUUUAAAGCAGGCUAACGCUUGAAUACAUUAGCAUGGAAUAAUGAAAUAGGACAUCGCAUUCUAUUUUGUUGGUUUCUAGGAUCGAUGUAAUGAUUAAUAGGGAUAGUUGGGGGCAUUAGUAUUCAAUUGUCAGAGGUGAAAUUCUUGGAUUUAUUGAAGACUAACUACUGCGAAAGCAUUUGCCAAGGAUGUUUUCAUUAAUCAAGAACGAAAGUUAGGGGAUCGAAGACGAUCAGAUACCGUCGUAGUCUUAACCAUAAACUAUGCCGACUAGGGAUCGGAUGAUGUUGAUUUUUUAAUGACUCAUUCGGCGCCUUACGGGAAAC
This 549-nucleotide ribosomal RNA is filed under the name uncultured Glomus. RNAcentral describes it as "SSU rRNA". It matches the Rfam family "Eukaryotic small subunit ribosomal RNA", at positions 548 to 1098 of the family's 1831-position model. The record is from RNAcentral. Lineage: Eukaryota; Fungi; Glomeromycota; Glomeromycetes; Glomerales; Glomeraceae.